GUUUCUUUCUUCUUUUUUUUUUCGAGCUUAGUUCGCAGUUUCUAACGAUCGACGGAACUUUGAACUAGGAGAUAGUGGACGUUUCUUGGUGGACAUGGAAAUUUUGCGAGGAGAUCGUUCUUUCUGGAACGCGAACUGCGAUUCGGGAUUGCUCGCGAAGGAUCUGUGCAAUUGUGUACCAUUUUUGGAACGAACGCGAUGGCCGCGUGAAUUACGAUAUCAAGAAGAAAAUGAACGGAAUUAGUAGAAGAAGGAAAUGCAAGGCGAAUGAAACUGAUAGCAAAAAGGAUGAAACAGACGGAAAUAGGACGAAAAGAAAAAUGCGAGGAAUGAAAGUAACAAGAGAAACGUGAAAGAACAACGCGAAAGUGUACCAAGAGAACUCGCGCUCCGGUCGACGGAGCGAUUUGCAUGGAACACGGCAACGGGGUUAACAAGCUAACCCUAACCCGGCCGAGGGUCCGAUGGAAGCAGUUUCGAAGGUCGCUGCGGCUUUUUAAGACAGUCGUCUGCAAAUCGACUAUUCGCGGCUGCUGAAUUAUAACAGGGUCUCCGGUAGAAAUCAGCACCAAGAGGGACGAAGAGGGGAGCAUACGCGUGAUCCGUCGUUCCAAAAAAUUGCUUAGAUGCUCCAAAAGAAGAGAAGAGCCUUGGAAGGCUCGCAAAUAAUUAUGGUGAUACUGUUAUAAAAUUUGAAGCUCGACAGGCGAUUCAUCGAGGAUGCGUCGUCGUCGAGAGCCCUGGUUGCUCUCUCUCUCUCUCUCUCUCUCUCUCUCUCGAGAUCUCUCUCUCUCUCUCUCUCUCUCUCUCUCUCUCUCUCUCUUCUCCGAGUAAAAAUGGCCACUCAUUUGCUAGAUUCAGUUUGGAAACUCCAUCACGGUUCCAGCUGGGCGCGCCGAGAGAGAGAGAGAGAGAGAGAGAGAGAGAAUUGUAGAGAGCUAGAGAGAGAGAGAGAGAGAGAGAGAGAGAGAGGGGGAGAGGGAUAGCCAACGGGUUAAAACUGGCUGCGAGUCUAAUGCAUUCGGUUGUCCGAGGCAUCCGAAACUCGUGUCCCGGUUUUCCGCUGCAACAUCGGCAAGUUUGACCGUGUAACGCCCGCGCUCGCUCUAACCGCUCGGGGUUGGCUCGAACGGAAGACAAUGACGGAUACACCGACGUUGUCGAGUUGUCUAUAAACUCCGGGGCGCUUGUCUUCGGCGCGAUCUCGUUACGGGCUCGGGCCACGACUCCCGGGGCCCCGUUGUUCGGAUUUAGCCGCGCCUUAUCAAGCUACGAUAAAACACGCCCUUUUCCUUUGCAUCCAAAGCGCCCGUUACUUUAAUUUCUCUCGGCUCCCGAGAUACACCCCGGGGUCUUAGCCGGCGCUUUUCUUCGCGCUCGCCCUGUUUCCCGCUCGACCGUUCCCCGUUGAUUGUUUCUCUCAUUCUUUCUUUCGGCUCGCUUUUACAUUUCAUUGUUCCUUCGGCCGGGUUUCUUCCGCGCGUUUACGUCUAAUCCGUUUUCACAAGGUAUCGCGGCCGGACACGACCGUGGCGUCGUUCUUUCCCUCGUUACACGCGCGCGUAAUAACCUCGACGCUGUGUCGCGAUUGUUGUUGUUAUUAUUAUUAUUAUUGUGUUAUUAUUCGUGCGCACUCGCGGCGGUGAAAAGGGUAGACGGAAUCGCGGAACGAGAGCGAGCCGCAUGGAAAGGUCGCGAGAGAGCAACGGAACGGCGCCGAGCGCCCGGCUGGCUGCUUUUGUUCGACGGGAACGCUCGCGUUUCUGCGAGCGACACACAUUUCUGCAUUCGCGAGCGCUCCCUCCCCCCCUCUGGCUCCGAUGUGAUAUAAAAGAUUAAUGUAAUACGCGGCCGCGAUGCACGCGGACACAUAGAAGCCCGAGCGGUGGGAGCCGCCGGCCUUAACGAGGUCUUGUCGCCGAGGUCUGAUUUAAUUUUCAGGACGCCGAGGCAUUCGACCGAUAAUACGCGCGAACCCGGCCGACGCCGAGGACCGCCGACUUAUUUGUCCCGCGAUAAAUGGGACGUUCCCGUCUUCUUAAAUGAUAAUUAGCGGGUUACACCGGCGCGGCGAGACCGAGGUGUUUCCUUUCAAAUGCCGAAAACGUAACGCGGAGAGCCGCGCGCGAUACAGUGCGCGCGAGGACGAGACGCGAAUUUCGUGGUCCCGAGUCGGUCCACGGCGCCGGUUAACAUUAAUCGAUUAAUUAAUAUAAUUAGCAGCCCGUUAUUAUCGGCCGCCCACGCUCCUCCCCUGCCCCCGCCCCGUGUAUGCAGAUGCGCGUCGCGCGUGAAUUAUCAAGCCGUUCGUUACACCAACACCGACGGCUUAUUACAUAAUUGAUCUCAUCAAAUUAUUGCUCAUUUGCGGCCCAUUCGGCGGCCCGUAAUGACCAUUCCGAUGCCGUCAGGACGCGUCUUCCGGAAAAGCCGAUAAGCCGAUCUCCGGCGAGAUGUUUCUGUUUCGAACGCGAGAUGCUGGUACAGCGAAUUCUCUCUGAUUCUAUUGUAUCGUACUUAGACCGCGAACUUUUUCAUACAAAAUAAAAACUGUCCAAAUUAAUUGCAAGA
Molecule: long non-coding RNA, 2571 nt
Organism: Megalopta genalis
Lineage: Eukaryota; Metazoa; Arthropoda; Insecta; Hymenoptera; Halictidae
Source: RefSeq, a predicted model, not a curated record